This 103-nucleotide non-coding RNA is filed under the name Helicotheca tamesis. Lineage: Eukaryota; Bacillariophyta; Thalassiosirophyceae; Lithodesmiales; Lithodesmiaceae. The record is from RNAcentral.
GGCGAGCAUGCUCUAAUUAAACGUUUGCAGAAGGAACUUGCUGAGGCUAAGAAGGCGCUUAAAGAGUUGGAAGAAUCAAAGAAACAGCCAUCUACUAGUUUUG